UUAACUUUCACUGUUGACGCUUUAACCCUUCUUCUACGAAUUCGAUCGUAACUUUCUCGUUUCAUAUCGAAACUUCGCGAAAUUCAUAUAUAUUAUUUUAGUGAGGGUAUAAUACCGUUACAAAGUCUUUGGAACGUUAAAGGGUCACUCAGAGGUAUUAUUAAACAUGUUGACACAGUUAACCCCUGUAGUUUGUAAUCUCUCACUUUCUUCCGCGUUUUAUUUUUGUACGAUCUAUAAUUUAUUCGUUUGAAGGUUUAAGCAUUAUUUAGGGAUACUAUACAGUAUAUUUACCCUUGUUGACAUUUAUAACCCUCGAAUUUAUAUACUUUCAAGAAGAGAAUGCUUGGAGCACUUAGAAUGAUCAGAGGUUUGUCAAAAUUAGUCCUUUAUUUAUUAUAGAUGCCACGUGUAAACAAAUGACACGUGUUAACACAUCAUUGGACACAAAAAUUCGAGGUGUUACAUCCUCACCCCCUUAAAAUAAAUCUCGACCCGAGAUUUACUCAAAUAAAUAGGGGUAUUUUUCUUUCAUUGUAGCUUCGACUUCCCACGUAUAUUCAGGACCUCUACGAGCAUCCCAUUUGACUUUUACAAUCGGUACGUGCUUUCUGCGAAGCUUCUU
RNAcentral lists this long non-coding RNA (625 nucleotides) under Helianthus annuus (common sunflower). RNAcentral's name for it is "hypothetical non coding rna". The record is from RNAcentral. Lineage: Eukaryota; Viridiplantae; Streptophyta; Magnoliopsida; Asterales; Asteraceae.